UGACCUCGGAUCAGGUAGGGAAACCC
RNAcentral lists this ribosomal RNA (26 nucleotides) under Trichopeziza sp. 1 TKPB-2017. RNAcentral describes it as "partial large subunit ribosomal RNA". Lineage: Eukaryota; Fungi; Ascomycota; Leotiomycetes; Helotiales; Tricladiaceae. The record is from RNAcentral.